Molecule: small RNA, 279 nt
Filed under: Camellia sinensis
Lineage: Eukaryota; Viridiplantae; Streptophyta; Magnoliopsida; Ericales; Theaceae
Description: transcribed RNA
Source: RNAcentral
GAAGUGAUCUUGGCUAACUAUUUUAAUUGGAUAGGGUUAAAAGGAUUUAGAGAAAGCUUAAGGACAGUGGUAAGGCAGGCCAAGGUCUCAUUAGGUUGGUUGAGGGCUAUCUUUUCAAGUGGGCUGUUCACAUGGUCAAUGAAGGUAGGAAGGGUCUGUUGGACUUCAAUUGGGAUUUGGUGAAGACUCUAAAGAAAGGGUGAAAUAUGAUCUAGGGAUUGUUGAAAAGUGGUGAUUUCUUCCCAUAUGUGUUAUGUGGUAGAGAUGGCCUGUUGACAG